Long non-coding RNA from Pan troglodytes (chimpanzee), 3068 nucleotides. RefSeq lists it as uncharacterized. The transcript is spliced from 8 exons. NCBI's taxonomy places the organism in Eukaryota, Metazoa, Chordata, Mammalia, Primates, Hominidae. The record is from RefSeq and is a predicted model, not a curated record.
AGUUUCGAUUCAGCUGAUAGGUGGGGAGAAAGCACCCCAGUUCUUGGAAGUUAGCUGUUUCUCCUCCUCGCAGACAACCUCCAGAGCAGGGCAGCAGGCAGCUGCUAGAGAUUUAUUUCUCCGCUUAGUUGUCUCCGCUUGCGGCUUCCUCCCAUGAGUGAGGACCAAGAGAAGCCCCCUGUCUCUGAUGAAAGUGGGGGAUGAACACUGAACCAAACCCACACUGCUCAGCACAUUUGAUGCGGCCAGAAACAGACUGCCAAGGCUGAGAAAGCUUUUCAGGGGCCGUCUGGCUGUGUGGGUGCGAAGACCUGGCUGUAUUUGGAAUCACCUGGGAAGACUUACAAAAAUGGUUUCCGAGCCUCACCCGCAAGGAUUCUGACUUGGCAAUGGAAGAAUGAAAGGCAACCCAGAGUGAAAUUAGGAUUACAAUUUUACAAACGUCUGUUUCUGACGCAGAAAGCACAUCAUUUGUCCACAUCACACUCUCUUGGAAUUUAUGACAAAGCCAGGUAAAUGAAAACUUGGAAAGAUAAACCUCAGAUAAGGGGGACUACUGUAUUCAUUCCUUCACCAUGGCGUGUCUGUGUCUGAGAAUCUACCCUUAAAAACAAUCUGGAUGCAAAGAAGCCGUGAGAUAGAGCGCAGUCCCUUCAUUUCAUAAAAGAAUGAAACUAACUCAAAUACACAAGGCAAUGGUUUGAAAGCUCUAAAUUUAUUCAGCUUAUACUGAAAGGAAAUGAAGUCUAUGUCCAAAUAGGAACCAAUGUGGUUCCUGCUGUGCUGUGCCUUCAUUACCUGAGACUACAGCAGCCUGCAUUCUCCACCGGGCUCGGAGGAGUGCAGAUGCCUGAGAAACGAAGUCUCAGUAUGUUGCCCAAGCUGGUCUUGAACUCCUGGUCUUAAGCGAUCUCCUUGCCUCAGCCUCCCGAGUACUUCUCAGUUUUCUAUACAAAUCUCUCAUCUAUCCCUAACCUCUCAGUGGAGAAACUCCAAGAUGAAUCCCAAAGAUCUCCAUCUCCAGCUGUUCACACUCCUGUGUAAUCUCUAGCCCUUGGGUGUGGAAAGGACUUGUGACUUGCUUUAACCAACAACAACAGAAUAUAGCAAAGAUGCCUAAGAACUGCAAAUGAGAAAUAAUUUUCUCACCUGGUCACAGCAUCUACCAAGAAUGGCGCUGGGGGAGAGAUCAGUGAGAUUCCAUCUUUAUUACCAUGUCCCUCCUUCCCCGUCAAAAGCAUUUCACAUCCCGCAAGUCCAUUAGACAUGACACCACUCUGCUGUGGGAGACACACACACACAACUAAAUACAGCGUAACAACACCUGCCUGGUCAGCACUUCAGCUCCAAAUCAAGCUUCACUAAUGACUAUGAGAUUAACGAAGAUGGUUUUGAUAAUUAUGACUGUUUUGUUUUUCUUAACUAUUCUUCAUCUGAGACUUUUACUGUUGUUUCUGCCAGCAUCCUGACAAACAUUUACAACCAGAAAGGGUAAGCCACUAGCUUGAAGCCAUUAAGUUCAGUUAACAAGGCUUUGAUAACAACCCUCAUGUUUUUAAGGAAAAACAAAGAACCUAGUAAUCCUUUAGGCCUUACCCUGAGAGGGUAGCCAGAAGAAAAAUCACAAAUAACAUGAACUUACCGGAACAAUCCACCGGGGUGUGAUCAUGGAUGUGGAAGACACCUGAAAUAAUUUUAUGCAUGUAUUUACUUUUUGGAAAGACUGACUUAUUUUCAUACUUAUAAUACUUACAUCUAUUAUGAAAUCCAUUCUAGGAGGGCAAUUCUUAAUUCUUAAUGGUGUUCCUUGAGCUGACAUGGACUUCUAAAUCCAAGACCCUUUUCUAUUAUACAACACAGAUGCUAUCCCUCACCACUUAAGAAAGUGUCAUAAUUUUGAGAAUCUCUUAUCUAAAAAUUUACCAUUCAAGAAUCUAUUACUACUUUCAGUUCACUUAAUAGGACUGCCCCUACCUCACACCCAGUAUUCAGUUUAACAUUUUAUUUUCUGAAAUUUCAGUUAAUUACAAAUAAUGAUAGCCUUCUUGGUAGCAGCCUGAACAAUGGAUUGUGACUAAUCCAAAUAAAUAGCAACAAGAAAGUACACAGAAAAAUAAUCUGUUUAGAUACAGAUCAUUCUCUAAUUAUCAUGUAUGCAUGAAGAAAGCGAAUAAAAACACCCAUAUUGCUCCUGGUUCACAGGGCCUUUGAUAUAUUAUUUUUAAAUGUUUAACCUUCUAUUAUAGGUCAUCUAUGUGUAGAAUUAUAAACUAAGGAAACCCACCCAUUUUACUAGUAAUUUAGACUAGUCCUUGCAUUGGUGGCCUUACAUACUCAUAAGAAAAAACUAAUGUAAGUCCAGGUAUUAGUAAAUUAGAUAACCACCAAAAGAAUAAAAACACAGGCUGGGCGCAGUGGCGCACGCCUGUAACCCCAGCAUUUUGAGAGGGCGAGGCGGGCAGAUCAUAAGGCUGGUCUUGAACUCCUGACCUCAAGUGAUCUGCCCACCUCGGCCUCCCAAAGUGCUGGGAUUACAGGCGUGAGCCACCGUGUCCAGCAAAGUUAGCUAUUUCUAUCUCUCUCAUCCCUGGAGGGAAGGAACUGUUUCAGUUGGCCCUCCAUAUCCAUGAGUUCUGCAUCUGUGGAUUCAACAACUGUAAAUCGAAAAUAUUUGGAGGGGAAAAAAAGGAUGGUUGUGUCUGUACUGAACAUGUGCAGGCUUUUAUUCUUGUCAUUAUUUCCUAAACAAUACAAUAUAACAACUGUUUACCAGCAUUUACACUGCAUUAGAUAUUAGAGGUAAGCUAGAUUAUUUAAAAUAUACUAGAGGAUAUGUGUAGGUUAUAUGCAAACACUACACCAUUUUAUAUGAGAUUUAAGCAUGCAUGGAUUUUGGUAUCCAAGGGGAGUCCUGGAACCAAUCCCUCACAGAUACUGAGGGACAACUAUACUUAAUACAGUAUCUUCCAGACUGUAAUAAUGAUUGAUAUGUUCAAUGCCAUUCUUACGCUCUCAUCUUUCUAUAAAACUUUUUUAAAAAUGAAAUAUAUCCUUAUUGUCUUAAGAAA